CGCUGGCGGCGUGCUUAACACAUGCAAGUCGAACGGGUGAACCAGAGCUUGCUCUGGGGAUCAGUGGCGAACGGGUGAGUAACACGUGGGCAACCUGCCCCAGACUCUGGGAUAACCUCGGGAAACCGAUGCUAAUACCGGAUACGACCACUUCGGACAUCCGACGGUGGUGGAAAGUUUUUCGGUCUGGGAUGGGCCCGCGGCCUAUCAGCUAGUUGGUGGGGUAAUGGCCUACCAAGGCGACGACGGGUAGCCGGGCCUGAGAGGGCGACCGGCCACACUGGAACUGAGACACGGUCCAGACUCCUACGGGAGGCAGCAGUGGGGAAUAUUGCACAAUGGGCGAAAGCCUGAUGCAGCGACGCCGCGUGAGGGACGACGGCCUUCGGGUUGUAAACCUCUUUCAGCAGGGACGAAGCGAAAGUGACUGUACCUGCAGAAGAAGCACCGGCUAACUACGUG
This 462-nucleotide ribosomal RNA is filed under the name uncultured bacterium. RNAcentral's name for it is "bacterial SSU rRNA". It matches the Rfam family "Bacterial small subunit ribosomal RNA", at positions 34 to 507 of the family's 1533-position model. The record is from RNAcentral.